This 69-nucleotide transfer RNA is filed under the name Anolis sp. JGP-2014a. RNAcentral's name for it is "tRNA-Trp". The record is from RNAcentral. Lineage: Eukaryota; Metazoa; Chordata; Lepidosauria; Squamata; Anolidae.
AAAAACUUAGGUUAACUAAACCAAGAGCCUUCAAAGCCCUAAAUAAGAAUUUAUUUUCUUAGUUUUUGA